AUUGAACGCUGGCGGCAGGCCUAACACAUGCAAGUCGAACGAGUGGCGGACGGGUGAGUAAUGUCUGGGAAACUGCCCGAUGGAGGGGGAUAACUACAGGAAACGGUAGCUAAUACCGCAUACCAUCGGAUGUGCCCAGAUGGGAUUAGCUAGUAGGGGGGGUAACGGCUCACCUAGGCGACGAGGCCUAGCGUGUCUGAGGGGAGGACCAGCCACACUGGAACGGAGACACGGUCCAGACUCCUACGGGAGGCAGCAGAGGGGAAUAGGGGACAAUGGGCGCAAGCAUGAUGCAGCCAUGCAGCGUGUAUGAAGAAGGCCUUCGGGUUGUAAAGUACUUUCAGCGAGGAGGCGUUACUCGCAGAAGAAGCACCGGCUAACUCCGUGCCAGCCGCCGCGGUAAUUC
Molecule: ribosomal RNA, 406 nt
Filed under: uncultured bacterium
Lineage: Bacteria
Description: partial 16S ribosomal RNA
Rfam family: Bacterial small subunit ribosomal RNA
Source: RNAcentral